This is a long non-coding RNA of Monomorium pharaonis (pharaoh ant), 2210 nucleotides long. RefSeq lists it as uncharacterized. The transcript is spliced from 3 exons. The record is from RefSeq and is a predicted model, not a curated record. NCBI's taxonomy places the organism in Eukaryota, Metazoa, Arthropoda, Insecta, Hymenoptera, Formicidae.
UUGCUUUAAACGGUUGCACUCUUUUUAAAUUUGACUCAGCACUGUUGCACUCGUGCGGGGGCAACUGGCACUCCGAUUAAUUUUUAUAAAAUUUAAAAAUGUGGGGCUAACUUCACAGUCAUGCCUCCUCCCUCCUUCGUCUUCUAUUACCUCUCUCAUAUUAAAAUUUUGCUCAUUUGCCUUCCUCUCCAACAGAACGUUUCUAAAACAUUUUUAUACUUUUUAUAUUAUAAAUGUAGACCAAUAAAGAAAUGAUGCAAAUUUAUUAUUGCCUUUAUAUGUAACUUAAUCUGUACUAAAUUCACAUGUCUAUACUAAACUAUAUUAAGCUUCCUCCUAAUAUGUUAACUUUAACAGUCCGAGUUGCAUUCAUAGAUAUAUUAAGAAAGACUGUUUAUAAAACUCUUAGGUAGGGAUAUUCUACAAAGGGAACGAGUUAGUAGAACACUUUUCUCUUUCUUCUGCCUCUCCUUCUCAUUGAUAUAUUAGAUUAAAGAGAAAAACUACCCAACUAAUAUGAAGUGAGAAUAAGGACACCCAACUAGGUGGCGUUUAGAAAGAAGAAAAUUAAUUAUAAAAAAUAUUCUGUCAAAAAAGAUGUUUGCUGAAUGCAAUAACUUGCAACAUUUUGUUGCCAUGUUAAAUUUAUUUGUGUGUGUACGUGUGUGAAUGUGUGUGUGUGUGUACUGACUUUGUCGAUGUCGUCGGUGUGAUGUUUUGUUAGGUUAGGUUGUGACCGGAAUUAACGAUGCAUAAGACUUUACAACCGCUGAUGGGAAUGAACUCACAUACCUUUUUUGUAUUACAGGUAACGGUCGCCAGCUCUUCUUACCUCCUAAGAGUAAGGAACAGGAUGCCCAGACGCUGGAUACCCGCUGGAACAUCCGUCGUCACGCUCAGGACCACGCCCGUGUUGCGAUGAGUAUCCGCUUUGAGGUUAUGUACUCUCGCGCGCAGUGGUUUCUCGUUGUGUGUGGAUCUGCUACCACUUACUAAUUCACUUUCUUUCUUUUUCAGGUGCUGCCCACUUCCCAGAGGAACACUUCCGGCUCGCCGCAAUUUCCCAGGAUCAUCCACAGGUCCCCAGAGUACGUUCGUAGGAUAGGAUUUCUCGCACAGAAAGUUUCAGUUCACAGUACCCGAUCGCGUGGCUUUUGCACAAUCGCGUUAUCGAGUUCCUGAUUUAUUACGUGAGCCUACUCGCAUUCAGCUCUCGUCGUUAUUAAUUACGCUGACGUGGUAAUCACGGAACUUCCGCUCGCAGUCGCACGAUCGCACUUUGCCACGAAAUGACCGACGACGGUUUACGCGCGAAAACUUGCGUGGUUUCUCGUGAGGAUUGUUCCUCAUGGUAUUCGCACAUUAUAUACCAGGCGGCAUCUCCCUUCCGUCUGGCCGCUCGCCAAUCAGCGAUAGCGUCAUCUGCCACCACCCGGGAUUUUACGAUACCCCUACCGCUCAUGCUGUGGCCACUCGACGCGUUGCGUCGCCUCGCGGGAUCGCACGCUGGGCUAUCCCCUCUUCCGUGGCUUUCGCCAAUCACAGCAGAGCGUGGCUGACUCGCGUGAGAUGCGCCUCGCUCUUCCCUAUGCUGUGUUCGAGCUUACAGAGAAAAUUAAUAUAUUGCACCCGAAAAUGCAAAAGUGCAGGGAAGUGCGCCACUCUGUACUUUGCAUUAAAAUAUUUAAAUAAACAAAAUAUCACCUUUAGGUUGUGUAACUGCAACAUAAAGACAAAAUGCAUAUGACACUAAAACUGUAAUCCAAAGUCGCAUUAACGCGAUGAAAUAUAUGAAUACAGAGUAGCACACAACUUCCUGUAACUAUCUUAACAUUUUACUUAUCUGACAUGCUAAUAUUUAUUAUAACAAAGACUAAGCCUAUUGGCUGAAUGUAGUGUGAAUUAUUAUUAAACGCUACUUGACUGAAACUAUAUUUUUAUAUUUUACUUAACGAUCAGAAAUUAAUAUUUGACUAAUGUCAUGUAGAGACUAACUAAUAGUAUUUUAUCGUGAAUUUAACUUAACGAGAAUGUUUUUCUAGCUAUCAGUAGUGAGUAUUUAUUACAUAAGAAUUUAUAUUAAAGAUAUUUGUUUAUUUUAUAAAACAGCCUACUUUGUAAAUAUAAUAUAAUAUAGUUAUGUAAAUAGGUCUGUAAGUGUAUUUGUGUAUGUUGUACAAUAAAAGAUUUAAGAAAAUAGUGUUAUUUGU